RNAcentral lists this transfer RNA (70 nucleotides) under Limnocentropus hysbald. Its description in RNAcentral is "tRNA-Gln". Lineage: Eukaryota; Metazoa; Arthropoda; Insecta; Trichoptera; Limnocentropodidae. The record is from RNAcentral.
UAUAUUUAAGUGUAAUGAUGCACAAAAAUUUUUGAAAUUUUUAGAUUUAGUUUAAUUCUAAUAAAUAUAA